RNAcentral lists this ribosomal RNA (376 nucleotides) under uncultured bacterium. RNAcentral describes it as "bacterial SSU rRNA". It matches the Rfam family "Bacterial small subunit ribosomal RNA", at positions 525 to 896 of the family's 1533-position model. The record is from RNAcentral.
ACGUAGGGAGCAAGCGUUGUCCGGAUUUAUUGGGCGUAAAGAGCUCGUAGGCGGCUUAGAUAGUCGGAUGUUAAACCCCUAGGCUUAACCUAGGGCAGCCAUUCGAUACUACUAUGGCUAGAGUUCGGUAGGGGAUUGUGGAAUUCCCGGUGUAGCGGUGAAAUGCGCAGAUAUCGGGAGGAACACCAAUGGCGAAGGCAGCAAUCUGGGCCGAUACUGACGCUGAGGAGCGAAAGCGUGGGGAGCAAACAGGAUUAGAUACCCUGGUAGUCCACGCCCUAAACGUUGGGCACUAGGUGUGGGACCUACUUCGACGGGUUCCGUGCCGUAGCUAACGCAUUAAGUGCCCCGCCUGGGGAGUACGGCCGCAAGGCUA